Molecule: ribosomal RNA, 1455 nt
Filed under: uncultured Bordetella sp.
Lineage: Bacteria; Pseudomonadati; Pseudomonadota; Betaproteobacteria; Burkholderiales; Alcaligenaceae
Description: partial 16S-23S ribosomal RNA intergenic spacer
Rfam family: Bacterial small subunit ribosomal RNA
Source: RNAcentral
GGUUCGAUUCUGGCUCAGAUUGAACGCUGGCGGGAUGUUUACACAUGCAAGUCGAACGGCAGCACGGACUUUCGGUCUGGUGAAGAGUGAUGAACGGGUGAGUAAUGUAUCGGAACGUGCCUAGUAUGGGGAUAACUACGCGAAAAAUAGCUAAUACCGCAUACGCUCCUCGGGGGAAAGCGGGGACCUUCGGGCCUCGCACGCAAUAGAGUGGCUUAUUAUCGGAUUAGCUAGUUGGUGGGUAACGGCUCACCAAGGCGACGAUCCGUAGCUGUCGGAGAGGACGACUUCUCACCAGCCACACUGGGACUGAGACACGGCCCAGACUCGCCACGGGAGGCAGCAGUGGGGAAUUUUGACAAUGGGGAAACCCUGAUCCAGCCAUCCGCGUGUGCGAUGAAGGCCUUCGGGUUGUGGUAAGCACUUUUUGGCAGGAAGAAACGGCACGGAUGGCACCGCAAUCGACGGUACCUGCAGAAUAAGCACCGGCUAACUACGUGCCAGCAGCCAGCGUACAUGUAGGUGUUGUUAAUCGGAAUUACUGGGCGCAAGCGCGCAGGCGGUUCGAAAGAGACGUGAAAUCCCAGAGCUUAUCCGGAACUGCAUUUCUUUAACUACCGAUGUUAGAGUGUGUCGAGGGAGGUGAAUUCGCGUGUAGCAGUGAAAUGCGUAGAUAUGCGGAGGAACACCGAUGGCGAAGGCAGCCUCCUGGGAUAACACUGACGCUCAUGCACGAAAGCGUGGGGAGCAACAGAUUAGAUAAUUCUGGUAGUCCACGCCCCAAACGAUGUCAACUAUUGUUAGCCUUCGCCUGCAGCGCAGCUAACGCGGGGUUGACCGCCUGGGGAGUACGGUCGCAAGAUUAAAAAACCAAAGGAAUUGACGGGGACCGCACAAGCGGUGGAUGAUGAGAUUAAUUCGAUGCAACGCUUAAAACUUUACCUACUCCUUUAUUACAUGUUCCGGAAUCCCGAAGAGAUUUGGGAGGCUCGCAAGAGAACUCGAACACAGGUGCUGUAUGGCUGUCGUCAGCUCGUGUCGAGAGAUGUUGUUAAGUCCCCAACGAGCGCAACCUCCUUGCCAUUAGUUGCUACGAAAGGGCACUUAUCGAUCGUCGGUGACAAACUGAGGAAGGUGGGGAUGACGUCAAGUCUCAAGUGGCCUUGCGGGUAGGGCUUCACACGUCAUACAAUGGUCGGGACAGAGGUCGCCAACCUGCGAGGGGGCGCCAAUCCCAGAAACCCGAUCAGUCCGAUCGCAGUCUGCAACUCGACUGCGUGAAGUCGAACGUUGGUAAUCGCGGAUCAGCAUGUCGCGGUGAAUACGUUCCCGGGUCUUGCAAGGACACCGCCCGUCACACCAUGGGAGUGGGUUUUACCAGAAGUAGUUAGCUCCAACCGUAAGGAGGGCGAUUACCACGGUAGAUUCAUGACUGGGGUGAAGUCGUAACAAGGU